Molecule: ribosomal RNA, 423 nt
Filed under: uncultured bacterium
Lineage: Bacteria
Description: partial 16S ribosomal RNA
Rfam family: Bacterial small subunit ribosomal RNA
Source: RNAcentral
AAUCUUCCGCAAUGGACGAAAGUCUGACGGAGCAACGCCGCGUGAGCGGUGAAGGUCUUCGGAUCGUAAAACUCUGUUGUGAGGGAAGAACACGUAUCGUUCGAAUAGGGCGGUACCUUGACGGUACCUAACCAGCAAGCCACGGCUAACUACGUGCCAGCAGCCGCGGUAAUACGUAGGUGGCAAGCGUUAUCCGGAAUUAUUAGACGUAAAACGCGCGCAGGCGGUUUCUUAAGUCUGAUGUGAAAACCCACGGCUCAAGCGUGGGAGGUCAUUGGAAACUGGGAAGCUUGAGUGCAGAAGAGGAGAGUGGAAUUCCAUGUGUAGCGGUGAAAUGCGUAGAGAUAUGGAGGAACACCAGUGGCGAAGGCGACUCUCUGGUCUGCAACUGACGCUGAGGCGCGAAAGCGUGGGGAGCGAACA